This 1905-nucleotide long non-coding RNA is filed under the name Marmota monax (woodchuck). The record is from RNAcentral. Lineage: Eukaryota; Metazoa; Chordata; Mammalia; Rodentia; Sciuridae.
CUAGCCCUAUUUAGUAUUUUAUUUAGAAACAGGGGCUUACUGCGUUGCUUAGUGCCUUGCUUUCGCUGAGGCUGACUUUGAAUUCAUGAUCCUCCUGCCUCCCAGGCCGCUGAGAUUUGGUUUGCCACUGCGCUCAGUGAAAAUAGGUUUAAAAAAAAAAAAUCCUAAUUUCAAUUGGUCAUCAUAGCAAUGGGGUACAACCUCCGAAAUGGUUUCCAAUGAUUCCCACCUCCUAGUAUUCACCCACUGUGUACACCCCACUCACAUCAUGCCAGAGUUGGUCUGUGAGAUACAAUACUAUACAAACUAAUACAAUCACGGUUUAGAUUAGGUUAUAGAAGACAUUUUUACUUGUCUUGAAGUAUUCCCAAUACAACCCAAAUAACUUACUCUGGAGAAGUUAAUUGCUGUUUUGGUCAGUUUUGUGUAGCUGUGAUCAAAAGACCUGACAAGAACAAUUUAGAGGAGGAAAAGUUUUCUGAGUGCUCAUGGUUUCAGAGGUCUCAGUCCAUAAUCCACUUACUGUAUGGCUCUGGGCCCAAGGUGAAGCAGAACAUCAAAAGGGCUGUAGGGGCUGAGGUUGUGGCUCAGCAGUAGAGCACUCGCCUAGCACAUCCAAGGCUCUGGGUUCGAUCCUCAGCACCACAUAAAAAUAAAUAGGUAAAAUAAAGGUAUUGUGUCCAACUACAAAUAUAUAUAUAUAUAUAUAUAUAUAUAUACACACACACACACACACAUACAUACAUAUACAUGCUGCAUAGGAAAACAGCUCAGGUCAUAGUACCAAGAAGAAGAGAGAGAGAGCUCUGCUCACCUGGGACAAAAUAAAAACCCCAAAAGCAUGCCCAUUUCCUCCAUCCACAUUCUACCUGCAUAUGUUUACCACCCCGUUAAGCCUAAUCAAUGAAUUAAUCCACUGAUUAGGUCACAACUCUCUUAAACCAAUCAUUUAACCCCUGAAUGUUCUUGCAUUUUUGUUUCACUCAUGAGCUUUUGGGGAAUACCAAGCCAUAUCCAAACCAUAACAGUUGCCAUGUCAUGAGAACACUGAGAAAACCUGUGGAGAGGCCCAUGUAACAAGGACUAGACUUCCAGCCAACAACUGGGAGGAAGGAGGCCUUCAAGUGGAUCAUCUUUGCAUCAGAUUUUUCCUUUCCAAUGAAUUCUUGAGACAACUGCAGGCCUACCCAAUAGUUUGACUGCAAUUGCCUGAAAGUCGGUCAAAACCAUCCAUCCCAGCAGCUCAGUGGUGGAGUGCCUGCAUACACAAAGCCCUAGGUUCCAUUCCCAAUACCACAAAAAACAAAACAAUCAAAGCCCCACCCAGCUAUAGUACCUGACCCUAAAUUUAUGUUUGUUGGUUUAAGCUUAUGAGCUUGGGAUAAUUUGUUAUGCAUCAAUAUAUAACUUCAAUGCGGUGGUAAAUAUAUUAUCAUUUACAUUUCCGAAUUCCUUAAACAAGUUCCUAAACUUGUGAGAUUGUCUUAUCAAAAUGAAAUUAUUAGCAGUUUCCUCUAAUUUUACCAAAAUUGAAUUAUUAGCAGUUUCCUCUUCUUCCACAUGAUAGAAAAAUUAAAGACCUACCUGGACAUAGUAGGGCCUGCUUGUAAUCCUUGCAAAUCGGGAGACUAAGUCAGGAGACUCACAAGUCCAAGGCCAGCCUCAGCAACUUAGCAAGACCCUGUCUCAAAAUGAAAAAGAAAAAGGGCUUAGAGUGUAACUCAGUGGUAAAGUGUCCCUGAUACAAUCCUCCCACCAAAACAAACAAACAAAACAACAACAAAAAAAACCAAAGCCUGUGGCUGUGCUUGUCUUUUAAAUUUUAACAGUAUUGCCAGCGUGGUGGCACAUGUGUGUAAUCCCAGAGGCUUGGGAGACUGAGUCAGGAGGAUUGUGAGUUCAAAG